RNAcentral lists this long non-coding RNA (317 nucleotides) under Marmota monax (woodchuck). Lineage: Eukaryota; Metazoa; Chordata; Mammalia; Rodentia; Sciuridae. The record is from RNAcentral.
GCUUGAACAACAACUUUGGGAAGUGGUAGAGGCAUCCAUCGCCUCUUUCACUUCCCUGAAAAGGCAAAUAACAUCGAUUGCCCUAGUUUCGCUAGAGAACCAUCAAGCCCUGGAUCUCCUGACAGCAGACAAAGGAGGAACCUGUCUAUUCCUGAAAGAAGAAUGCUGCUACUACAUCAAUGAAACUAGAUUGGUCAAAAAGAAUGUCAACAUCCUCCAUUUUGGGGGUGAAAAGCUUAAACAGCAACAAUCAAAUGACCAGGCUGGCUAAACUCAACCCUCAUUAUGUGGCUGACUCCCAUUCUCACUCCUAUAUU